This 231-nucleotide ribosomal RNA is filed under the name uncultured bacterium. RNAcentral's name for it is "partial 16S ribosomal RNA". It matches the Rfam family "Bacterial small subunit ribosomal RNA", at positions 28 to 250 of the family's 1533-position model. The record is from RNAcentral.
GACGAACGCUGGCGGCGUGCUUCAUACAUGCAAGUCGAACGAGGUCCAUCUGGUGGCAACACCAGUGAAGACCGAGUGGCGAACGGGGUGCGUAACACGUGAGAAACCUGCCCCGGACUCCGGGAUAACAGUGGGAAACCGCUGCUAAUACCGGAUACCUUCACCGGAUCACCUGAUCUGGUCAAGAAAGGUCCGCCGGUCUGGGAUGGUCUCGCGGCCUAUCAGCUUGUU